This 515-nucleotide ribosomal RNA is filed under the name Fusarium solani. RNAcentral's name for it is "eukaryotic LSU rRNA". The stretch from base 128 to 281 matches the Rfam family "5.8S ribosomal RNA". Lineage: Eukaryota; Fungi; Ascomycota; Sordariomycetes; Hypocreales; Nectriaceae. The record is from RNAcentral.
CUGUGACAUACCUAAAACGUUGCCUCGGCGGGAACAGACGGCCCCGUAACACGGGCCGCCCCCGCCAGAGGACCCCCUAACUCUGUUUCUAUAAUGUUUCUUCUGAGUAAACAAGCAAAUAAAUUAAAACUUUCAACAACGGAUCUCUUGGCUCUGGCAUCGAUGAAGAACGCAGCGAAAUGCGAUAAGUAAUGUGAAUUGCAGAAUUCAGUGAAUCAUCGAAUCUUUGAACGCACAUUGCGCCCGCCAGUAUUCUGGCGGGCAUGCCUGUUCGAGCGUCAUUACAACCCUCAGGCCCCCGGGCCUGGCGUUGGGGAUCGGCGGAAGCCCCCUGCGGGCACAACGCCGUCCCCCAAAUACAGUGGCGGUCCCGCCGCAGCUUCCAUUGCGUAGUAGCUAACACCUCGCAACUGGAGAGCGGCGCGGCCACGCCGUAAAACACCCAACUUCUGAAUGUUGACCUCGAAUCAGGUAGGAAUACCCGCUGAACUUAAGCAUAUCAAUAAGCGGAGGAA